ACACGUAGGAGGCAAGCGUUAUUCGGAUUUACUGGGCGUAAAGCGCGUGCAGGCGGUUUGGUAAGUUGGAUGUGAAAGCUCCCGGCCUAACUGGGAGAGGUCGUUCAAUACUACCAGACUAGAGGAUGGGAGAGGGAGGUGGAAUUCCGGGUGUAGUGGUGAAAUGCGUAGAUAUCCGGAGGAACACCAGUGGCGAAAGCGGCCUCCUGGCCCAUUUCUGACGCUCAGACGCGAAAGCUAGGGUAGC
This 247-nucleotide ribosomal RNA is filed under the name uncultured bacterium. Its description in RNAcentral is "partial 16S ribosomal RNA". It matches the Rfam family "Bacterial small subunit ribosomal RNA", at positions 523 to 769 of the family's 1533-position model. The record is from RNAcentral.